UGAACGCUGGCGGCAAGCCUCAUACAUGCAAGUCGAACGAGAAAGUAUCUUCGGAUACAAGUAAAGUGGCGGACGGGUGAGUAAUACAUAGGAAUCUACCCAGUGGAGGGGGAUAGCUCGAGGAAACUCGAAUUAAUACCGCAUAAUCUCUACGGAGUAAAGAGGGCUUCGGCUCUCACCAUUGGAUGAGCCUAUGCAAGAUUAGCUUGUUGGUGAGGUAAUGGCUCACCAAGGCUACGAUCUUUAGCUGGUUUGAGAGGACGACCAGCCACAUCGGGACUGAGACACGGCCCGGACUUCUACGGAAGGCAGCAGUAGGGAAUAUUGGACAAUGAGCGAAAGCUUGAUCCAGCUAUGCCGCGUGUGCGAUGACGGCCUUAGGGUUGUAAAGCACUUUAGGUAACGAGGAAAAGUUAGGUGUUAAUACCACUUAACCAUGACGUUAAUUACAGAAUAAGCACCGGCUAA
Molecule: ribosomal RNA, 468 nt
Filed under: uncultured Gammaproteobacteria bacterium
Lineage: Bacteria; Pseudomonadati; Pseudomonadota; Gammaproteobacteria
Description: bacterial SSU rRNA
Rfam family: Bacterial small subunit ribosomal RNA
Source: RNAcentral